This 263-nucleotide ribosomal RNA is filed under the name uncultured bacterium. RNAcentral's name for it is "partial 16S ribosomal RNA". It matches the Rfam family "Bacterial small subunit ribosomal RNA", at positions 793 to 1055 of the family's 1533-position model. The record is from RNAcentral.
GUCCACGCCCUAAACGAUGUCAACUGGUUGUUGGGAGGGUUUCUUCUCAGUAACGUAGCUAACGCGUGAAGUUGACCGCCUGGGGAGUACGGCCACAAGGUUGAAACUCAAAGGAAUUGACGGGGACCCGCACAAGCGGUGGAUGAUGUGGUUUAAUUCGAUGCAACGCGAAAACCUUACCUACCCUUGACAUGUCUGGAAUCCUGAAGAGAUUUGGGAGUGCUCGCAAGAGAGCCAGAACACAGGUGCUGCAUGGCCGUCGU